Long non-coding RNA from Bicyclus anynana (squinting bush brown), 7050 nucleotides. RefSeq lists it as uncharacterized. The transcript has 2 exons. The record is from RefSeq and is a predicted model, not a curated record. Lineage: Eukaryota; Metazoa; Arthropoda; Insecta; Lepidoptera; Nymphalidae.
GGAACCUACCGCCAUGCUGUCCAAAUGCGCAUUAGUGGGGUUCACGCCACCAGCUUAAUGAUCUUUCUGACGCAGUUAAUAGUGCUGUGGUUCUCAACAGAGUGGUCUACGGUUCGAUUCCCAUCUCGAGUCAGUUUAGGAUUUUAUAUUUUCUAAAUUUGCUCAGCUGUCUUCCGUAACUUGAUCGGAUCCGUUUGACAACAAAAUUGUGAGCUUUCAAUCGGAUCCGAUCAAGUUUAGCAAUUAUUCACCAAGUCUGGUGUUACCAUCACUUACAUAUCGGCCGCAGCUAUUUACCAGUUUAAUGUUCCGAUACGAUGCCGCAUAAAAACCGUCAAAGGUAUGGGUAGAAUAAAACAUAUAAGUACCUGGAUAUUAUAUAAUACGGUAUUGGACAAUCUUGGACUGCAUCGUCAUUUAACAGUAAGUGAUAUCGCAAUUAAGAGCUAACUUGUCAUUGAAUGAAAAUAAAUAAAAACAAAUUAACCCACCACGCUGUACAAAUGCGGAUUGGCAUCUUUGAUAUAAUAUACGAGUAGUUACUCUCAAGCACGCACGAUGGUCACCAUGAUUACAUUUAAACUCAAAGUCAAAGUUCAUUUAUUUCAAUUAGGCUUGGUUUAUAAGCUCUUUCGAAACGUCAGGAUAGUAGAUAAAUCAGGUUACGAGGAUUCCAAACAUGUGUUUAAUUUAUUCAUAUUAAUUAAUUAUUAUUAUUGUUAGAUUUUUAAUUAUUUAAAUAAUUAUAAAUACAUAAGACAACAUAUAAAAACUCCUUCUUCCAGAUAAAUGUUUUAAUCUGUACUGUUUAUUAAUGAUAAUGGUUUUAUUCUGAGGUUGGUAGGGUAUUGUGAUAUAUACUCUAUGUAAAAGAGGCGAACAUGCGAUUAUGUGGCGUGAAGUUUAUUUAAUUAAUGUAUUAUCCAUCUACCAAAAAGUGAGAGUACCUACGAACACGAUGUCAUUACCUACAUUAAAGUCGAUCUACAGAAAGAAAAUGUAACGGCAUUUAAAUGAAGUGUGAAUUUGGGAAACAGUGGUUUACAUUACGAGAAAUGCGAUAAAAAUCAUACGUGUGUACAACCAAUAAGUAUGUAUACCACUGACGGCUAUGGGACGCACGCCGCACUGGUCCCGGUAAAAGUAUUUAUGCGAUGUCGGUUGUCGAUGCUUACAAUAUCUAACAAGAAUGAAGAAACGUAAACGUAACACACUUAUACCAUGUUGACGAUAUUUAUGAGCAAAACAGUCAAACAGUCCAACAGCACUCAUAAGAGGAUAUUAUUUGAAAAACUGCGAGAGAACAGAGAAGAACGUGUAAAUUAAUAACAAAAUACAAAGAUGCAUGUGUGGUGUUAGCUGCAGAGUUAUAUGAGAUGGAAUCCUGUUGGUUUGACGGAUGAGAAAUACCAAUGAUGUCUAAAUAUAUUAAACUAGGUGUCUGGUGAGUUUUAUUAGUUUGAUUAAACAGCCUCAUAAAUUAUUCAGUUGUGACUAAUAUGAAAUAAAAUUACAAAGAAUAAAUAAUCACUAGGUGAAACUAAGUAUGGUUGAUAGGUUGUCAGUUUGUCUGGCUUAUUGUCAAAACAUUUUUGUUAGAUGACUAUAUCUAGGAAACCAAAAUCAUUUAAGUGAAAAGUACACACACACACACACACAUACACACUGCUCAAGAAAUUAACGUAUGAAGACAGACCACUCUAGGGUUGUUAGGAUGUAGGACACUGGCAUAAUGUAAUAUUGAGAAAUCUUAAUUAUAGAACUACAUUACAUCCGUUGCUGACAUGGGACUAAAAUGAAUUAACUAAAAUAUUGUUUUUUUUUGUGCCUGUAACUUCAAACUAUACAUUUGUUAUAUGUGAGUUUUUAUGACUGAAUAACAUAAAAAUUAAAAAUAUAUGAAGUUUUAUGUAAUGGUUCAAGUAUUAUUUUAGGCCUUGAUGUAGGUACCUGAUAACAAGUUUUGAGACAGCUAUUACAAUAUUUUCAGAUAGGAUUUGCUUAGAUAUAUCAUUAUGUAGAUUACUGUAUGUACUUAAUAUAAAUUUUUUUAAAUCUUUUAAGAAAUUGGAUUGAUAGAUUUCUUGAAAAAUAAAUUUGUAGUUAUGUUUGAAAACCUAUUUAACUAUUCAAGCAUUGACAACAUGCCUUCAGCCUAUUUAGUAUAGAACAGUUAUUAACAAUCUGCAGCAACACAGUAAAUGAUUCUUAUCCAUGAAUAUUAUUAUAUUCGGCUUAUCUACAAGAGUACUAAGAGAUAUUAUGAUAUUCAUCUUAAUGAAAUCUUAUAAUUAAUUAAAUUGGAGAUUUUUUUUAGGGUGAUAUUAAAAAGUUACUUGUGUGACAAUUGAGUAAUAAAUAAUUAAUUAUAAUAAUAUCAUUGAUCACAAAUUGUCUUAGAGCCCAGUCUGUAUGGACUUCAAGUAAAGAGACACAGAUUGCCAUAAAUAGGUUGUAAAAUAUUUGUCUAAGACAUAUUUUGACAGUUUUGUGGGUGGGUGACGUUGGGCUCUCUUUUCAUUAAUGGUCAUGUGCAGAUGUAUAGAUUCUACAUACAAGUAAAUUAACCAUACUAUUGCUGUUGUUUUAGAUUCAAUCAAUCAGUUUAUUAUUUGCAGAUACACUAGUGUAUUUAAUCCAUGUCUCAUUUGUUUAUUUCUAGCAUUUUAUUAGAUUGCAACAUUUUGUAUAAUUAUGAAAAUUAGUAAUUAUUAUGGGGUUGUGGUUAGAAUUAUAUAUUCGGAUGGUUACAAUGAUAUGUGCAUAAGGUUUUAACUAGGGUAUACUAGUACACUAAAGGUAAAAAAAAAAAAAAUUAGAAAAUUCCUUGGCCAACAUAUUAAGUGGUAUAGGUUUUGAAUAUAGAUUUGUAUUGGGUCCUUAGGUAGUCAGUACAUUUGUGCAUCUACAAAGUGCACGCCACCGAGUUCUUGGUACCUGCAUGCAACUGAUGGGUGGUCUGCAUCAAGUAUGAAUCAAUAUAGAGACUUAAAUCAUUACAUCAGUAAAAUAAUUAAUGGAUAUAGCCAAAAAAAAAAAAAAAAAAGAAAUUUAACAGAAUUAAAAAAAAAAGAAUAUACUAAAAUUAAUGAAUAGGUAAAACCUCUGAUAGCAAACUAGAGGUAUAUAACAAAGGGGGUGGUCUGGUCUAAGACAGGUUUAUGCUACUAUUAUUACAAAAAAGGGGGUAGUCUGAAGAUAAUUAUACAAUACAUAGUCAAAUAUCAUCUUUUCUUAUCUAGUGAUAACUACUAGGAUUGGAUUACAUACUAAAAUUAUUACAAUCAUAAAUCGCAAUAUUUUCAAGAAGUCUUUAUUAUCAUUAAAAAAAAAAAGCAUUUCUUUAAGAGAAAGAGUCUUUUGUCUGAAUUAAAGUAAAUUGAUAGAUUAACACAUGUUUAACAUUUUAUUUCAUUUUAUGUACCGGGUCUAAGGUUCAUUCAAUUAUAGACUGAUUUUCUCUUGGAUGCUAGGUAUGCUAGUUAUGUUAAAUUAAAUUAUUUGUCAAACAAGUAUGAUAUUUAUCUGAACGAUUAAGUGACUGAGCUAUGUGAUACUGUGUGAAAAUAUUUGAUUACAGAUCCGAGAUGCAUGGAUAUUGAUUGAUGAAUAUGGGAUAUAUGAGAUUCUCAUGAUAAUCAUUGGGUUGAACACAGCCCUAUUCGACAGUUGACCCAAAUCACAAAGAUGAGAGAAGUUACACUAUGUAUUGAUAACACACGAUUUAAAUUUAGUAUUUUUAUUUAUGAUAUGAUGAUAUUAUAAUUAUGUAUUAUAUUGAGAGUUAUUAGUUUUGAUAUCAUAUAUACAUAUAUUUUAAAUAUUUGCUCACAUCCAUGAUGUUAUUCAUUAAUUAUGACUUACUGAUGACGAUUUGUGUUUUGGUAAAAUUUUAAUAUAAGGAUAGAUGUAUUACACAGGCCGACACGAUUUUCGUUGUCCAAGAUAUAAUUAUUUUUUUUCUACUGAUUUUGUAGUGCUGAUUACGAAAUCAGACCUAAUUUUAUCAUAUCACAUCAGAUUUUUAGUAAAAUUAAUAUAUUCGCUAGUUUUGAUUUUUCAGUGAAAUUUUCGAGUUUUGGCACUCUUUCUUUGAAUUAAGCGACCUCUCAUGAGAAAUUACUUCAGUUAUAACAACGACACACCUAUUUGUAACGCGUUUCGUGGAAAUAAGCUGUUAUAGUGCCUUUGUUAAAAAAAAAUAUAUAUAUAUUUUAGUUAAUGGUUUUUUUUGUUGUUGGAAAACGUCUGAUAAACAUAACGUCUUCUAUAAAGUGUCACAAUAGUCCAGAUAUAUUUUGUUACAUUUGUUGAAACUUUAUGAUUCUAAGCAAAAACUGAAAAAUUUGUGGAAAAUAUGUAUAAUAAAUAUGUAGCUUAUUUUGACUUCAAAAUACAAAUAAAAUCGUGGACUCUGCAGUUUGUACUAAUCGUGUUGAACAAUUAAGGCAGUGGACACUGGACAUACAGCAAAAGACAAUCUCUACCUUUUGGUACUACCUAUGAUAUAGUGAAAGCAAGACAAUCAUACAGAUAUUGUUAUUUUUGCUGUAUGUUAGAAGCUUUUAAAGUAAAAUUUGUUUUCCUUUUUGUAAAAAAAAUUGAUGUGAUAGAUUAAUUGUGCAGGUAUUUUUGUGUUCAAAAUACUAUAAAUUACUGAUAAUUUUUACUGAAAUCAAAACAACGUUCAAAAAGUAUUCAUUUGUCGGCCGGUGUUAUCGAUAAUAUUUUAGAUAGUAUUAUAGUAUAGUAGUGUUAUGACGACUAAUAUACCGUUAUUUGUUUUGUGAAUGAUUAUGGAUAUAGUUGUUGUAUAAUAAUUUCUCUAUUGAUUAUUACACAGCAAAAUAAAAUAAAUAAAUAAAUAUAAAAAGAUUCCAACGAAUUGAUAAACUCCUUUUUUUUGAAGUCGUUUAAAAAUGUAUGUAUAUGUAUUUAUAUCUGAUUUUAUAUUUUGAUUAUCUUCUAUCACAUGUCAUCUGGAAGUCUAACACGAUCAUGAAGUCCUGUAACUAUAUUAGUUCUGAACUUGAUGGUGAGGGGUUCGGUGCAGAUGCAACACAUCAUCUGGAAGUCUAACACGAUCACAAAGUCCUGUAACUUUACUAGUUCUUGACUUGGUGGUGAGGGGUUCGGUGCAGAUGUCACACAUCAUCUGGAAGUCUAACACGAUCACAAAGUCCUGUAACUUUACUAGUUCUUGACUUGGUGGUGAGGGGUUCGGUGCAGAUGUCACACAUCAUCUGGAAGUCUAACACGAUCACAAAGUCCUGUAAUUUUACUAGUUCUGGACUUGGUGGUGAGGGGUUCGGUGCAGAUGUCACACAUCAUCUGGAAGUCUAACACGAUCACAAAGUCCUGUAACUUUACUAGUUCUGGACUGGGUGGUGAGGGGUUCGGUGCAGAUGCCAUUAAUCGAUGAUGACGAAUUUGACAAAUAUAAAUAAUGUUUUGAAAUGAUGAAAAUAGAUAAGUUGAUUGACAAAAGCUUCACAUGAACAUUAUGUUUAUUUAUAAUAUGUAUCACUCUUAUUCUUAUUUAACAUUUUUAUGAUAAAAGUAUAUAGAAGAAAUCAAGAAUUUCAUUAUAGUUUCAUUGGAUUCUUUUAAAUAACUUAUGGGAUGCUGUGUGAUAAUUAAUUAUAAAAUUUUAUUGUUAACAUUGUUCUAUUUAUAGUUGAUAUUAUAGUAAUGUCAUAAUUUCAUGAUAUUCUUGUGUUGUUUGGGGACAAACUUUUAGUAAGGAUGGCCGAAUAUUAGAAGAUAAAGACAUUACAUUUGUAAAUAUUACAUAUCGUCUAUGUACUUAAUGCUUUAAAUUAAUCUACUACUCUGUCUAAGUUAAUUACAAUAUUUAAUAAGUCUCUGUCUAGAGUAAAGCUCCCUCUUGUCAUCUGGAAGCUCAGACAAAUAUUAGAAGAUAAAGACAUUACAUUUGUAAAUAUUACAUAUCGUCUAUGUACUUAAUGCUUUAAAUUAAUCUACUACUCUGUCUAAGUUAAUUACAAUAUUUAAUAAGUCUCUGUCUAGAGUAAAGCUCCCUCUUGUCAUCUGGAAGCUCAGACAUACAUAAGACCUACCUCGCUAGAUGUUGUUUUUCGUCAAAGUACAUGAUUUACUUGUAUGAUCUAAUGCGAUUAUAAGAACUGUCUCAGUAGAAUCGAGGUUUCAUAGUUAUAACUUUAUAUUAACAUAACUUUUAGUUUAGUUUAGGAAUGACAAAAUGACAGACAAUUUUGUCAUGAAUUUGGGUAAUUGGACUGAAUCUGGAAGUGAUUAAAGAUUGAAUUUAUUUCAAAUUUGUAAAAACAAGAAUUAACAUACCAGUUUAACUGAAUUUAAGUGUUUGGAUUUUUAUCAAUAGAAUCACUAUCAAAAUCUGUAUAGGUCUGUAUUCACAAUUUGUAAAUAUUGAAUGAGAAAUCUGUUAAACUAUAAUUAUAUAAUUCUUAAAGAAUAAUUAAAUGUAUUGUAGGGUGUUUCAACAUAUUGUUAAAUCAAGGUUUAAAAUUAGAAAAUAUCUGUAAUGACAAAAUUGAAUUUUACUACUUGUAAAUCAGUGAAUUUAGCAAGUAGUAAUAAUAAUAGAUUAAUUGGGACUCACUUUUGUUAUAAUUAGAAAUUAUUGGAGAAUUAAUGAGUUGUGGUAAUAAACAUAAAUUAAAAUUUUAAAUACUAUGAGACAUAGUUCAGUGAAUCUUUAUAAUAAUGUAAUGUUAGAAUUUAUUUGUGUUUACAAAGUUUGAGGACAAACUUGUAGUCAGUAUGGCCGAAUGUUAGAUUUUUAAUUAUUUAAAUAAUUAUAAAUACAUAAGACAACAUAUAAAAACUCCUUCUUCCAGAUAAAUGUUUUAAUCUGUACUGUUUAUUAAUGAUAAUGGUUUUAUUCUGAGGUUGGUAGGGUAUUGUGAUAUAUACUCUAUGUAAAAGAGGCGAACAUGCGAUUAUGUGGCGUGAAGUUUAUUUAAUUAAUGUAUUAUCCAUCUACCAAAGUAACGAUUUGUUUAAGAAUGAGGAAUAAGUUAUUUGAAAUACAGUUUAUACAUUCCA